GACGAACGCUGGCGGCGUGCUUAACACAUGCAAGUCGAACGGAAAGGCCCUGCUUUUGUGGGGUGCUCGAGUGGCGAACGGGUGAGUAACACGUGAGUAACCUGCCCUUGACUUUGGGAUAACUUCAGGAAACUGGGGCUAAUACCGGAUAGGAGCUCCCGCUGCAUGGUGGGGGUUGGAAAGUUUCGGCGGUUGGGGAUGGACUCGCGGCUUAUCAGCUUGUUGGUGGGGUAGUGGCUUACCAAGGCUUUGACGGGUAGCCGGCCUGAGAGGGUGACCGGCCACAUUGGGACUGAGAUACGGCCCAGACUCCUACGGGAGGCAGCAGUGGGGAAUAUUGCACAAUGGGCGGAAGCCUGAUGCAGCAACGCCGCGUGCGGGAUGAAGGCCUUCGGGUUGUAAACCGCUUUCGCCUGUGACGAAGCGUGAGUGACGGUAAUGGGUAAAGAAGCACCGGCUAACUACGUG
This 468-nucleotide ribosomal RNA is filed under the name uncultured bacterium. RNAcentral describes it as "partial 16S ribosomal RNA". It matches the Rfam family "Bacterial small subunit ribosomal RNA", at positions 28 to 507 of the family's 1533-position model. The record is from RNAcentral.